RNAcentral lists this ribosomal RNA (254 nucleotides) under uncultured bacterium. Its description in RNAcentral is "partial 16S ribosomal RNA". It matches the Rfam family "Bacterial small subunit ribosomal RNA", at positions 524 to 776 of the family's 1533-position model. The record is from RNAcentral.
UACGUAGGGGGCAAGCGUUGUCCGGAAUCAUUGGGCGUAAAGCGCGCGCAGGCGGCUCUUUAAGUCUGACGGUGAAAUGCCGGGGCUCAACCCCGUGCCCGCCGCGGAUAUUGGAGGGCUGGAGACACGUAGAGGCAAGCGGAAUUCCGGGUGUAGCGGUGGAAUGCGUAGAGAUCCGGAAGAACACCGGAGGCGAAGGCGGCUUGCUGGGCGUAGUCUGACGCUGAGGCGCGAAAGCGUGGGGAGCGAUCCGG